This 248-nucleotide ribosomal RNA is filed under the name uncultured bacterium. Its description in RNAcentral is "partial 16S ribosomal RNA". It matches the Rfam family "Bacterial small subunit ribosomal RNA", at positions 337 to 602 of the family's 1533-position model. The record is from RNAcentral.
CCCUACGGGGGGCAGCAGUGGGGAAUAUUGCACAAUGGGGGAAACCCUGAUGCAGCGACGCCGCGUGAGCGAAGAAGUAUCUCGGUAUGUAAAGCUCUAUCAGCAGGGAAGAAAAUGACGGUACCUGACUAAGAAGCCCCGGCUAACUACGUGCCAGCAGCGGCGGUAAUACGUAGGGGGCAAGCGUUAUCCGGAUUUACUGGGUGUAAAGGGAGCGCAGGCGGCGCGGUAAGUCUGAUGUGAAAGUC